UACGGAGGAUCCAAGCGUUAUCCGGAUUUAUUGGGUUUAAAGGGUGCGUAGGCGGCCUAUUAAGUCAGGGGUGAAAGACGGUAGCUUAACUAUCGCAGUGCCCUUGAUACUGAUGGGCUUGAAUGUACUUGAGGUAGGCGGAAUGUGACAAGUAGCGGUGAAAUGCAUAGAUAUGUCACAGAACACCAAUUGCGAAGGCAGCUUACUAAAGUAUGAUUGACGCUGAGGCACGAAAGCGUGGGGAUCAA
This 248-nucleotide ribosomal RNA is filed under the name uncultured bacterium. RNAcentral's name for it is "partial 16S ribosomal RNA". It matches the Rfam family "Bacterial small subunit ribosomal RNA", at positions 524 to 771 of the family's 1533-position model. The record is from RNAcentral.